UGUUGAACUGGUUCAUUUAACAUCUAUGGACGAGAUGUUCCACAUGACAUUUUUCAGAAGAGGCCUAGCUGAACCGCUGCAAUCGAUUAUGCCACUGCAUGAUCCAAACUGGACACUGGAGUUUUACAUAGAUCUGGCACUUCAAGUAAGUGGCUCUGCCUUAACUGUGGGUGUUGUGGAUGAGGAACACCACAGUCCUGCAGUAUCUCCCACUCUAGAGAGUCUUACCAAGAUGGCUGCCAGUCGAGAAACGUUCCACAAAAUGGCUGCCGUUCCAGAGUGUCGUCACAUCAUGGCCGCCAUUCCAGAGAUUCAUCACGACAUGUUCGCCAGCCCAGAGCCACUGCGCAAGAUGGCCGUCAGCCCAGCACCACUGCACAAGAUUUCAGAGUCAAGUCAGGUCCCCGUCGAUCUUCCAGAGCCUAGUCAGGUCCCCAUCGAUCUUCCAGAAUAAAGGUCCAGUCAAGUCACCGCUGACCGUUCAGAGUCAGGUCAAGUCACCAUUAACCCCCAUGAGUUAAGUAAAACCACAGUUAAACUUCAUGAGUCAAGUCAAGUCAACGUCGAUCUUCAUGAACAAAGUCAAGUCACCAUUGGUCUUCAUGGGCAAGGUCAAGUCGCCACCAAUCUUCAUUAACUAAAUCAAGUCACAGUGGAUAUUUAUGAGCCCAGUCAAAUCACCACAGAUCUUCCAGAUAUUCAACACGUCUCAGCUGAACUUCUAAAGCCUUGUCACGUCUCAGCUGAUCAUCCAGAGCCUCAUCUCAUCCUGUCUGCUGAGCCCAGCAAUGUUCUCUCAGCCUGUUGUGUUGCUGUCAAGAAGACUGUUACUGCUGUGGAACCAUCAGAGGUGGCGGCAACUGCUGCAGAACCUUCGGAGGUGUCAGUAUUAUCCAUCCAUGAACUCCCGUCGUGUCCUGUCACGGCUAUGGAGGCCGUCUAUGAACUCAUUGCCUGUCCUGUCAUGGCCACGGAGGCCACCAACCAACUCACUGUCUGUCCUGUCACAGCCACGGAGGCCAUCCAUGAACUCCCCGCCUGUCCCGUCACGACCAUGGAGGCCGCCUAUGAACUCUCGUUCUGUUCUGUCAUGGCUAUGGAGGCCGUCUAUGAACUCUCGCUCAUUCCUGUCAUGGCUAUGGAGGCCAUGUGUGAACUUUUUUAUAUGCCUUAUCAUGGUCACAGAGGCCACCAUUAAUCUGUUUAUGUUAUCUGUUCCAGUCCCUCCUAACCUGACUUGCUCUCCUGUGCAAUUGACUACACUGUCACGGUCCUCUGCUCCGCCCUGGUGGGCUUCUGUCUCGUCUGUUUGGCUGUGGUGGUCCUCUGCUCUGCACUGGUGGGCUUCUGUCCCAUCUGCUCGACUGUGGUGGUUCUCUGCUCCACCCUGGUGGGCUUCUGUCUCGUCUGCUCGGCUGUGGUGGUCCUUUGCUCCACCCUGGUGCGCUCCUGCUCCCCUUGCUGCACCCUGGUGGGUUCCAGCUCCACCUGCUUUGCCCUGGUGGGCUUCAGCUCUCCUCCUGGUGGGUUCCAGCUCCACUUGCUCUUCCCUGGUGGGGUCCAGCUCUGCCCGGUGAGCUCCUGUUCCCCUGUUAAGCACAGGAAGGGCUCCUGUUCCCCUUUUUAAGCCCAGGAAGGGCUCCUAUUCCCCAUGUUAGGCCCAGGAAGGGCUCCUGUUCCCCAUGUUAGCCCCAGGAAGGGCUCCUGUUCCCCAUGUUAAGCCAAAGAAGGGCUCCUGUUCCCCAGUUAAGCCCAGGAAGGGCUCCUGUUCCCCAUGUUAGGCCCAGGAAGGGCUCCUGUUCCCCAUGUUAGCCACAGGAAGGGCUCCUGUCCCCCAUGUUAAGCCCAGGAAGGGCUCCUGUUCCCCAUGUUAGGCCCAGGAAGGGGUCCUGUUCCCCAUGUUAGCACCAAGAAGGGCUCCUGUCCCCCAAGUUAGGCCCAGGAAGGGCUCCUGUUCCCCAGUUAACCCCAGGAAGGGCUCCAGUUCUGCCUGAUCCACCCUGGCUUCCAGCUCUGCCGGCUCUGCCCCGGCCACUCCAUUUCCACACGGACCUUGCCCUCCAUCCUUCCGUCUCUCCCCCUGU
Molecule: long non-coding RNA, 2084 nt
Organism: Carassius carassius (crucian carp)
Lineage: Eukaryota; Metazoa; Chordata; Actinopteri; Cypriniformes; Cyprinidae
Exons: 3
Source: RefSeq, a predicted model, not a curated record